CUGGCGGCGUGCCUAAUACAUGCAAGUCGAGCGGAAAUUUAUGGUGCUGCACCUUAAAUUUAGCGGCGGACGGGUGAGUAACACGUGGGUAACCUACCUUAUAGAUUGGGAUAACUCCGGGAAACCGGGGCUAAUACCGAAUAAUACUUUUUAACACAUGUUUGAAAGUUGAAAGACGGUUUCGGCUGUCACUAUAAGAUGGACCCGCGGCGCAUUAGCUAGUUGGUGAGGUAACGGCUCACCAAGGCAACGAUGCGUAGCCGACCUGAGAGGGUGAUCGGCCACACUGGGACUGAGACACGGCCCAGACUCCUACGGGAGGCAGCAGUAGGGAAUCUUCCACAAUGGACGAAAGUCUGAUGGAGCAACGCCGCCGUGAGUGAAGAAGGACUUCGGUUCGUAAAACUCUGUUGCAAGGGAAGAACAAGUAGCGUAGUAACUGGCGCUACCUUGACGGUACCUUGUUAGAAAGCCACGGCUAACUACGUGCCAGCCGCGGC
This 500-nucleotide ribosomal RNA is filed under the name uncultured bacterium. RNAcentral's name for it is "bacterial SSU rRNA". It matches the Rfam family "Bacterial small subunit ribosomal RNA", at positions 36 to 518 of the family's 1533-position model. The record is from RNAcentral.